UUCAAAUUCAACUUCUCUGGAAAUAUCCACAAUGAUACCGGCGAGGUCAAUCGGUUCUCUCUCGCAACCCUCCGUCGGAAAUGUCAACGGCGAAGAAGAAGAAGAAGAACCGGUUUCAAUGACCUGAAACGGGGGUUGAACCGGAGCUCUGCAAAGCGGGCAAGUGGAUCUGGAACGGAACCAAGUAUCGAUGCAGUCGACGUGAAAAGAGUGGCCACAUUUAGGAAGAAGACGGCCUU
This is a long non-coding RNA of Arabidopsis thaliana (thale cress), 239 nucleotides long. RefSeq annotates it as other RNA. The transcript has a single exon. The record is from RefSeq. Lineage: Eukaryota; Viridiplantae; Streptophyta; Magnoliopsida; Brassicales; Brassicaceae.